AGACAACAAAAUGUUUAUUAUUAUUUUGUCACCUUAGGUCGAUCGGUAUCUCACGUUUUUAAUUUAUUAAGAACUUCAUUUCCUAAGUUUUUCUAGGUCACACCCAUUAUUUUCCUGGGCCAUUAGCUCAGGUGGUUAGAGCGCACCCCUGAUAAGGGUGAGGUCCCUGGUUCAAGUCCAGGAUGGCCCAUAUCUCUAUGUUGGGGGUAUAGCUCAGUUGGUAGAGCGCCUGCUUUGCAAGCAGGAUGUCAGCGGUUCGAGUCCGCUUACCUCCACUGAUUACCACCUCUUCCAUAAUCUGUAGAAAGGAAAAUUUUUAGGUUUUGAUCAUAAAUCUGAACGAAUCUAGCUUCCUAAUGAAACCAUUAAGAUGCUGGACUCAUUGAAUUAAUUUCAUUGUUUUCAGAGAACCUUGACAACUGCAUAGAUUAUUUUUUAAAGACAAUAAGCAUCUUAAAUGAUGCAGAUUUAUUAUUUUUGCAAAUGCAUUAAUAACAAUUCUAUUAAGCUGAUGCUUCAAUUAUGAAGUUAUU
RNAcentral lists this transfer RNA (533 nucleotides) under uncultured cyanobacterium. RNAcentral's name for it is "partial 16S-23S intergenic spacer". The stretch from base 203 to 275 matches the Rfam family "tRNA". Lineage: Bacteria; Bacillati; Cyanobacteriota. The record is from RNAcentral.